CACGUAGGGGGCAAGCGUUGUCCGGAUUUAUUGGGCGUAAAGAGCUCGUAGGUGGUUCGGUAAGUCGGGUGUUAAACCCCCAGGCUCAACCUGGGGACGCCACUCGAUACUGCUGUGACUAGAGUCCGGUAGGGGAGCGUGGAAUUCCUGGUGUAGCGGUGAAAUGCGCAGAUAUCGGGAGGAACACCAGUGGCGAAGGCGGCUCUCUGGACAGAUACUGACACUGAGGCGCGAAAGCGUGGGAAGCAAACAGG
RNAcentral lists this ribosomal RNA (254 nucleotides) under uncultured bacterium. RNAcentral's name for it is "partial 16S ribosomal RNA". It matches the Rfam family "Bacterial small subunit ribosomal RNA", at positions 524 to 776 of the family's 1533-position model. The record is from RNAcentral.